Molecule: long non-coding RNA, 414 nt
Organism: Asparagus officinalis (garden asparagus)
Lineage: Eukaryota; Viridiplantae; Streptophyta; Magnoliopsida; Asparagales; Asparagaceae
Exons: 2
Source: RefSeq, a predicted model, not a curated record
CCGGUUCCACCUCCGGUUCACCCUCAGAAAAGGGGAGAGAAAAGCUUCAGUAAAUUUCCUCUCCCUCUCUCUCUCUCUCUCUCUUCCCCCGAUGGCGUCCAAAGUCCUCAUGGUGGCGGAAAAACCUAGCAUCGCUCUCUCCAUUGCAUCUGCGCUCUCUCGAGGCCGGGUCGGUCUUAUUUUUUUUCUUAAUUUUUUCUUUACUAGGUUUUUUGAUGUAUAAUGAGCUAUUUUGUUGGUUAAUCUCACUAUUACAGGCGCCGACUUAAUAUUACAAAUUUACCCAAACGUGGUAACUUUUUUAGCAACUGAAAUUGUUUGUUCAUUUUGAGAUGGUUACUAUUACUAGGCAGAUCAUUUUUCUGUCUCUGUCUUUAUAGUCUUGCCAUCAAUUAAAACAGUGAAUAUUGAGAA